GAUGAAGAACGUAGCGAAAUGCGAUACUUGGUGUGAAUUGCAGAAUCCCGUGAACCAUCGAGUCUUUGAACGCAAGUUGCGCCCGAAGCCUCGGCUAAGGGCACGUCUGCCUGGGCGUCACGCAUCGCGUCUCCCCCAAACCGCCAAGGCGGAGGGGAAGGAAGAUGGCUUCCCGUGCCUCACCCGGGCGCGGUUGGCCUAAAUUUGGAGCCCGCGGCACUUAGCUCUCGCGGCGAUAGGUGGUGAACAAGGCCUUGGCCGUGCAAACAACCCGCUGCGAAGCUCUAUGUCACGUGCGCUCGUCGGACCCUUUGAAGUUGCCUUUGGUGACUUAAAACCUUUGCGACCCCAGGUCAGGCGGGGCUACCCGCUGAAUUUAAGCAUAUCAAAAGCGGAGGA
This 399-nucleotide unclassified non-coding RNA is filed under the name soil metagenome. RNAcentral's name for it is "partial contains 5.8S ribosomal RNA, internal transcribed spacer 2, and large subunit ribosomal RNA". The stretch from base 1 to 120 matches the Rfam family "5.8S ribosomal RNA", at positions 35 to 154 of the family's 154-position model. The record is from RNAcentral.